RNAcentral lists this non-coding RNA (28 nucleotides) under Mus musculus (house mouse). The record is from RNAcentral. Lineage: Eukaryota; Metazoa; Chordata; Mammalia; Rodentia; Muridae.
UGACCACUGAUGACUGCGGCUGUCUCGA